RNAcentral lists this long non-coding RNA (482 nucleotides) under Numida meleagris (helmeted guineafowl). Its description in RNAcentral is "lncRNA (ENSNMEG00000011176.1)". The record is from RNAcentral. Lineage: Eukaryota; Metazoa; Chordata; Aves; Galliformes; Numididae.
GUCUCUGAUCAUCCUCAGCUCAGAGCUCCAGAGAGCCACCCAGGAUGGGAAAUGUUUAUCUGGUCCACAAGUGUAACUGUGAGCUUGGCACAUCACGGCUAUUCACACACGGGUCACGGUUGCUGCAAGAACAAUUUCUCUUACCAGCUUCCACCCUGGCAUGUAAAAACAGUCCUGAUUACUGCUUGGAAACUCUGCUGAAGGCAAGAUUUUUCUCUGCCCAAGGAUUACUCCUGUCUGUGCUCCUAUCUUCAGAGGAUGAACUGGACGCGGUGUGCCAUAGCUGCAAGAAGCAGGAGGGUGCACGAAGUAUGAAGUGUAUGAGAUGUUAUGGCUCUAUUUUCUUGGCAGAUGGAAAGAAGCCUGGGCCUGACUCCACAAAUUCUUCUUGUGGAGAUCAAGGAGAUUUCAGCCUGGCUCCCCCCGUGGGGAGAGGCCACUCACCAUGGGAACUCACCAGCUCUGUUUUGCCCUCUCCCUGA